This 301-nucleotide ribosomal RNA is filed under the name uncultured bacterium. Its description in RNAcentral is "partial 16S ribosomal RNA". It matches the Rfam family "Bacterial small subunit ribosomal RNA", at positions 509 to 807 of the family's 1533-position model. The record is from RNAcentral.
CAGUAGCCGCGGUAAUACGAAGGGGGCUAGCGUUGUUCGGAUUUACUGGGCGUAAAGCGCACGUAGGCGGCUUGGUAAGUUAGAGGUGAAAGCCUGGAGCUCAACUCCAGAAUUGCCUUUAAGACUGCCGAGCUAGCAGGUGAGAGAGGUGGGUGGAAUUCCGAGUGUAGAGGUGAAAUUCGUAGAUAUUCGGAAGAACACCAGUGGCGAAGGCGGCUCACUGGCUCAUACUGGACGCUGAGGUGCGAAAGCGUGGGGAGCAAACAGGAUUAGAGACCCCCGUAGUCCCUGUCUCUUAUAC